This 72-nucleotide transfer RNA is filed under the name Ictidomys tridecemlineatus (thirteen-lined ground squirrel). RNAcentral describes it as "Spermophilus tridecemlineatus (thirteen-lined ground squirrel) tRNA". It matches the Rfam family "tRNA". Rfam says of the family: Transfer RNA (tRNA) molecules are approximately 80 nucleotides in length. Their secondary structure includes four short double-helical elements and three loops (D, anti-codon, and T loops). Further hydrogen bonds mediate the characteristic L-shaped molecular structure. tRNAs have two regions of fundamental functional importance: the anti-codon, which is responsible for specific mRNA codon recognition, and the 3' end, to which the tRNAs corresponding amino acid is attached (by aminoacyl-tRNA synthetases). tRNAs cope with the degeneracy of the genetic code in two manners: having more than one tRNA (with a specific anti-codon) for a particular amino acid; and 'wobble' base-pairing, i.e. permitting non-standard base-pairing at the 3rd anti-codon position. The record is from Rfam by way of RNAcentral. Lineage: Eukaryota; Metazoa; Chordata; Mammalia; Rodentia; Sciuridae.
UGGGUUGUGGCUCAGCAGUAGAGUGCUCGCCUGGCACGUGUGAGGCACUGGGUUGGAUCCUCAGCACCACAU